CGGAGGGGGUUAGCGUUGUUCGGAAUUACUGGGCGUAAAGCGUACGUAGGCGGAUUAAUAAGUUAGAGGUGAAAUCCCAGGGCUCAACCCUGGAACUGCCUUUAAAACUGUUAGUCUUGAGAUCGAGAGAGGUGAGUGGAAUUCCAAGUGUAGAGGUGAAAUUCGUAGAUAUUUGGAGGAACACCAGUGGCGAAGGCGGCUCACUGGCUCGAUACUGACGCUGAGGUACGAAAGUGUGGGGAGCAAACAGGAUUAGAUACCCUGGUAGUCCACACCGUAAACGAUGAAUGCCAGACGUCAGCAAGCAUGCUUGUUGGUGUCACACCUAACGGAUUAAGCAUUCCGCCUGGGGAGUACGGUCGCAAGAUUAAAACUCAAAGGAAUUGACGGGGGCCCGCACAAGCGGUGGAGCAUGUGGUUUAAUUCGACGCAACGCGCAGAACCUUACCAACCCUUGACAUACUUGUCGCGGAUUCCAGAGAUGGAUUCCUUCAGUUCGGCUGGACAAUGUACAGGUGCUGCAUGGCUGUCGUCAGCUCGUGUCGUGAGAUGUUCGGUUAAGUCCGGCAACGAGCGCAACCCACGUCCUUAGUUACCAGCAUUUAGUUGGGUACCCUAAGGAGACUGCCGGUGAUAAGCCGGAGGAAGGUGUGGACGACGUCAAGUCAUCAUGGCCCUUACGGGUUGGGCUACACACGUGCUACAAUGGCAUCUACAGUGAGUUAAUCUCCAAAAGAUGUCUCAGUUCGGAUUGGGGUCUGCAACUCGACCCCAUGAAGUUGGAAUCGCUAGUAAUCGCGGAACAGCAUGCCGCGGUGAAUACGUUCCCGGGCCUUGUACACACCGCCCGUCACACCAUGGGAAUUGGGUCUACCCGAAGGUGGUGCGCCAACUAUUUAUAGAGGCAGCCAACCACGGUAGGUUCAGUGACUGGGGUGAAGUCGUAACAAGGUAGCCGUAGGGGAACCUGCGGCUGGAUCACCUCCUU
Molecule: ribosomal RNA, 988 nt
Filed under: uncultured marine bacterium
Lineage: Bacteria
Description: bacterial SSU rRNA
Rfam family: Bacterial small subunit ribosomal RNA
Source: RNAcentral